AGGCUGGCUCACUCCUGCUCUGCUGUCUGCUGCCCCAUCAGCUGAGGGGUUGGCUGGUCUGCAGUGGCCUCAGCUGGGGCAGCUCCUGUGCGCCACGUGGCCUGUCAUUCUCCGGCAGCCCAGCCCAGCCCGUUCACCUGACCUGUGAGAGGUCCUACUGGGUCCCAUUGAAUCCACACCAGCCUCAUUCGUGGGUUGCACCAUUAUGGACCACUAAGAAAGAAAGAAAAAAACCUGUCAACUAACUGGAAGAUGCAGUACCAGUCAAGAUGUGCUAGGCUGUGCUAUCAAAACAAAAGUUUUGUUUGAAUCCAAAAGUUCCAUGGCUAAAGAAGGAAGGUUUAUGCUUCUCUCUCCUCAAAUGCCCACUGGCUACGGCUUAGCUCCAUAUCACCUUCACUGUGAGAUCCAGGCACAUGGAACAGCCUCCAUCUGGAACUUCGCUGGCUGUUGAGGUGAACCUUCUAAAGCUUCAGCCUGGAAGUGACACAUCACUCCCCUUCACACUCCAUUGGCCAGAGCAAGUCACAUGGCCGCCCCUGGGCUCCUCCUGUAGGAAGGGGCAGCAACAGAAAUACAAUUUCCUACUCUUGUAUUAAUUGAAAGGCAUAUCCUGGUUUCCGAGUCUAAAAGGUGAGAAACAGCACAUCCUGGAAUUGAUGAAAUACGGAACUGGAGGUUUAGGUGGGUCUUACAAUGUGCCUGAGACCUCAGAGUGGCAAAGCUGGGGCGUCAGCCCAGGUAUCACCAACUCCACCUUUAAUCUGGCUGGAAUAAGCCCUUAUGGAGGUGGUAGAAUCUGUCAGGUCCUGGGGAAGCCUGGGGGGAUGGGGCCUAAAUUACUCUCCAUUUAUUAAUCUCUCUUUUUUAAAGACUCUUUUCUUUCAACAUGUGUCGAGCCAGCACUGUGCUAGUAGCACACUGAAGAAUGAGUCUCUAGUUCCCUUCAACAAAAUGUCCCAGGUCAGUCAGGGGUCAAAAGGAAGAGUCACAGAGGCUAGCUAUUAGCUGUGCAGAGGCAGGCGUGCCCUUGGAGGCUAGGAUGCACGUGGCCCCUUCCCAAACAGGGUUGGCUCUGGUCGUAAAUCGUCCCACAGAGAGGACUAUUUACUCUAGGCAGAGGCCUGUGCGUGGUGGUCGGGUGUCAGGAAGUGAGCUGGCCAUUGGAAUGGAGUGUGGGUGGGGUGAAGGGACGUGGUCACCGGCUUCCACUGAGUCACAGAGGGCUGAGGUGGGGAGGCUGGCGGGGCCCCGCCCUGGUGCAGCAGGAAGGACAAGGUCGGGGCAGAGUCAGAGGCUGGGAGCAGGGAGGAGGUGGAGGGCUGUCUCAGGCCCCAGCAGGUCCCCGAGGGGGCUGGCAAACAGGCCUUUGAUGCAAACGUUGCCCUGAGAAAACCACCCAGGAUCCAGCUGGCAACCCGGAAGGCUCCUUCUGGUGUUCAUUAACCUCAAGGCCUCGACCACACCGUGAACUCCUCAUAGGGGAUCCUCUGCUAUGCUUGUUCUGGGGUCCCCCAAUAAGCAGGCUCUCAAUAAAUGUCUAUUCACUGGUUAAUUAACCCUCAACACCAAAGAGCCUGACCAGGACCACUGAUCACUAAAACGAGACCUAGCCACGAAGUUUAGAGUGGAUCCACAGCCCUCGGGAACUUUCAGGCUCUUCGGAAAUCCAAAAUCAUCAGGGGAAAUCCAGAUCUCAUCUUGCUGCUGCUGCUGCCUCAAGAAUAAAAGGGUUGUCUCCACCCAGUGCUCUGCUA
This is a long non-coding RNA of Orcinus orca (killer whale), 1757 nucleotides long. RefSeq lists it as uncharacterized. NCBI's taxonomy places the organism in Eukaryota, Metazoa, Chordata, Mammalia, Artiodactyla, Delphinidae. The record is from RefSeq and is a predicted model, not a curated record. The transcript is spliced from 3 exons.